CUCUGUUUGUUACGCAGAUGAAAUGGCCAUGUACAGCCGCAGCUGAUGCACGGAAGCUGGCCCGUUCCCUCGCAGCAGUGAUUGUGCACUUGGCAGGAGCCCGGCGGAGGCGCUCCAGCAGUUUGCUGAUGCAGAAUUCUCUUUGCAUUAAAUGGGAACGUUAUCUGACUUCAGUAAACAUGGUGCCAUUGAAACACGCUGACUUGCCCGCUCGUUUCCAAAGAUGGACUUGGUCAGCUGGUGGCAAUUCUGGCCAUUCCACCUGGACAGCACCAGUAUGGAUGCGGAUGGGGACAGCCAAGGGUGAGCAGCUAUCAACCCAUGCUAACAAACAGCCCGCGUGCAUUCAGCAGCAAAGAAACCACACCGCAGAGCAUGGUCACAGACAGGGCCCCGACCUGCAGUCAUCUCGCUUUCUGUCUGAAGGCACAGAUAAGUGGGAAGGUCAUUAAGGGGCUUGCUAAUUCCCUACAGUUGUCCACAAGAGGGGAUGAUGCUGUAGUCUUAAGACUACAUAUCCAAGGGAGAAACCUUUAGAAACACCAUCGCACCACCGCCAUGAGCCUGCCAUUGCCC
Long non-coding RNA from Gallus gallus (chicken), 576 nucleotides. NCBI's taxonomy places the organism in Eukaryota, Metazoa, Chordata, Aves, Galliformes, Phasianidae. The record is from Ensembl.